This is a long non-coding RNA of Clupea harengus (Atlantic herring), 1079 nucleotides long. Lineage: Eukaryota; Metazoa; Chordata; Actinopteri; Clupeiformes; Clupeidae. The record is from Ensembl.
GGGGGGGGGUCAGCGAAAUUAUUUCAGGCGGCCAAUCACGAGGAUCAGCGCUCAGCCAUCUGACUCUGAAGUGACUCCCUUUCCAGAAACACCUUGGGGUAAACAAAAAUAAAAAAAAUAAAAAGAUUUCCCAAUCACAGUCAGAUGCUGUUGAUUUUCAUUAAUUCACAGAGCUUCCAUGUUUGCCAAUUUGGAGCGCUUCCCCCCCUCGUCUCUUACUCACUCUCUCUCUGACUGUGCUUCAGGGCUGGUGGCAGUGUGGAGUUUUUCCUCAUCUCGUGGCACUUAAAUUAAAUGGAAUCAGCCUGGCUGUUGGAAACUGCAGGGCUAGGUGAUAAAAGCAAUUAGAGGCCUCUAAUUUUUCGCCCAGGGACAGGGCAGCCAAGGCCCAGGAGACAAUUAACUCCUAUAUAAUGAAGUCCCUUUCUGUUGCCGUUUUGAUUCACAUUUUAUGUCAGAUGGCUCUUUUUGCAGUCUUUUUUUUUUCUUUUUCUUUUUUUUUCUUUUUACUCCUGUGUGCGAUCGGACAAACAGGUCUUUGCUGAGGUUCUUUUUUCUCUCUCUCUCUCUCUCUCUCUCUCUUUCUCCUUCUCGCUUGCUCUCUCACUUUCUCUCCUCCAGUCUUUGAGUGUCUGGGAGAUGAAAACAGAUCUUUAGUUAAUAGGCUCUCUGUGGACAGAUAGGUCUAUUAGGAGGGCAAUUUGGAAAUGAGUGAGAGUGGGGAGCUGAAUGUUAGACGGCAUACCGGCCUCCUCUAGCCUCUGUUCACCCCCCACACCCACACAGACACACAGACGCACAGACACUGAUGAAUUCAAAGCCCAGCUGUCGAGUAGUACGCCACACACUCCAACAAUACAAUUACACCGCUGCUGACCAUAGUGAAAAAAUAUGGCAGAUGAAUUAAAAAUGUUUUUACAAACAGUGAAAUCAACUGAAAUGACACCUCAAUUUAACAGGAAGCAACAAUUUGAACAGUUUAAGUACCUGUAAUAAAUUCACCUCAAUGACAUCAGAAAUGUAUCGCCUAUACAUAAUUUCACAUGCAUAAUAUAAUACAUGUGACAAAUCAUAAAUGA